CAGGAUCCUGGAAACACAGAGAAGUCUGAGACAGCUCUCUGUCUUUGAAACACUCUGAUCUUCAUUACCCAUGAUGUCAUCUACAGCCUGGAUCACAGCCCUGAAAACUAUUGUUGAAAGAAAUCAUGUUCACCCACCUCAAGGCCAGUGUAAAACGGCUAAUUAACAACAAGGCAAGCAUGAGAGAGAACCAGUCUUCUGACUCAGUGUGACUUCUGUUAGCCCUGCCAUGAGUGCAAUGUCCAGAAUCAGUAACAGACAGCACUUUUCACAAGCUCCAUGUUAGAGCCAGCAAAGAAGACUUCUUCUAUACAUGAAAACACCACAAAAAAUCCUGGAGAU
This 342-nucleotide long non-coding RNA is filed under the name Cricetulus griseus (Chinese hamster). RNAcentral's name for it is "lncRNA (ENSCGRG00000026580.1)". Lineage: Eukaryota; Metazoa; Chordata; Mammalia; Rodentia; Cricetidae. The record is from RNAcentral.